This 269-nucleotide ribosomal RNA is filed under the name Peronia willani. RNAcentral describes it as "partial large subunit ribosomal RNA". The record is from RNAcentral. Lineage: Eukaryota; Metazoa; Mollusca; Gastropoda; Systellommatophora; Onchidiidae.
CUUUAAGGGUGCAAAGUCCCUUGAUCCGAAAAAAGACNAGAAGACCCUUAGAGUUUUUAUUUAAGGUAAGAAUUUACUUAAGUUUUUGCUGGGGCGGCAAAGAGACAAACAGUUAACUCUCUUCAUAUUAUUUUUAGAAGACGAUAAUGUUAAGAAUCAUUAAACUACCUUAGGGAUAACAGCAUAAUUAAGUUUUAGUUUGUGACCUCGAUGUUGGACUAGGAAAGCUUUUGACCAGCAGUCAAAAAUCGCGGUUCUGUUCGAACUCA